GGUAUUUACAUAUCUUGGAGAGAUUUAGAGAAUAAACUCUAAGAUCUUUGGUAUUUAAGUGUCAACAUCAAUUUAUUUAUUUAUUGCUGAGCUGACUGUAACUGACUCAAUAACAAAUUUAAUCAUGUAUUGCGCUGGGAAAGAAAUAUUCUCAUUAUGUAUUUUCUCCAAAUAAUGACCCACCAUUGCAAUUUGAAUAUCCACUGUAAAUAUCAAUAAUAUCGAGUAAUUACU
Molecule: long non-coding RNA, 234 nt
Filed under: Castor canadensis (American beaver)
Lineage: Eukaryota; Metazoa; Chordata; Mammalia; Rodentia; Castoridae
Description: HOXA11 antisense RNA 1 conserved region 4 (ENSCCNG00000023487.1)
Rfam family: HOXA11 antisense RNA 1 conserved region 4
Source: RNAcentral